This 433-nucleotide ribosomal RNA is filed under the name uncultured bacterium. RNAcentral describes it as "partial 16S ribosomal RNA". It matches the Rfam family "Bacterial small subunit ribosomal RNA", at positions 29 to 507 of the family's 1533-position model. The record is from RNAcentral.
AACGAACGCUGGCGGCAUGCCUAACACAUGCAAGUCGAACGAGACCUUCGGGUCUAGUGGCGCACGGGUGCGUAACGCGUGGGAACCUGCCCUUAGGUUCGGAAUAACUCCCCGAGAGGGGUGCUAAUACCGGAUAAUGUCUUCGGACCAAAGAUUUAUCGCCGUUGGAUGGGCCCGCGUUGGAUUAGCUAGUUGGUAGGGUAAAAGCCUACCAAGGCGACGAUCCAUAGCUGGUCUGAGAGGAUGAUCAGCCACACUGGGACUGAGACACGGCCCAGACUCCUACGGGAGGCAGCAGUGGGGAAUAUUGGACAAUGGGCGAAAGCCUGAUCCAGCAAUGCCGCGUGAGUGAUGAAGGCCUUAGGGUUGUAAAGCUCUUUUACCCGGGAUGAUAAUGACAGUACCGGGAGAAUAAGCUCCGGCUAACUCCGUG